Molecule: ribosomal RNA, 481 nt
Filed under: uncultured bacterium
Lineage: Bacteria
Description: bacterial SSU rRNA
Rfam family: Bacterial small subunit ribosomal RNA
Source: RNAcentral
AUGAACGCUAGCGGCAGGCUUAAUACAUGCAAGUCGAGGGGCAGCAGGGAUAGCAAUAUUCGCUGGCGACCGGCGCACGGGUGCGUAACACGUAUACAAUCUGCCUUUUACUGGGGGAUAGCCUUUCGAAAGAGAGAUUAAUACCCCAUAAUAGAUUCUUGGGCAUCCAAGGAUUUUGAAAGCUCCGGCGGUAAGAGAUGAGUAUGCGUCUGAUUAGCUAGUAGGUGAGGUAACGGCUCACCUAGGCAACGAUCAGUAGGGGAUCUGAGAGGACUAACCCCCACACGGAUACUGAGACACGGAUCCGACUCCUACGGGAGGCAGCAGUAAGGAAUAUUGGACAAUGCCCGCAAGGGUGAUCCAGCCAUGCCGCGUGCAGGAAGACGGCCCUAUGGGUUGUAAACUGCUUUUAUACAAGAGAAAACCUCCCUACGUGUAGGGAGCUGAUAGUAUUGUAGGAAUAAGCAUCGGCUAACUUCGU